RNAcentral lists this non-coding RNA (52 nucleotides) under unclassified sequences. The record is from RNAcentral.
ACGCCGUGACUGCGUCGAUAACAGCAGGUUUGGGGAGACCCAACGACGGCGU